This 496-nucleotide ribosomal RNA is filed under the name uncultured bacterium. RNAcentral's name for it is "partial 16S ribosomal RNA". It matches the Rfam family "Bacterial small subunit ribosomal RNA", at positions 29 to 507 of the family's 1533-position model. The record is from RNAcentral.
AUGAACGCUGGCGGCGUGCCUAAUACAUGCAAGUCGAGCGAACAGACGAGGAGCUUGCUCCUCUGACGUUAGCGGCGGACGGGUGAGUAACACGUGGAUAACCUACCUAUAAGACUGGGAUAACUUCGGGAAACCGGAGCUAAUACCGGAUAAUAUAUUGAACCGCAUGGUUCAAUAGUGAAAGACGGUUUUGCUGUCACUUAUAGAUGGAUCCGCGCCGCAUUAGCUAGUUGGUAAGGUAACGGCUUACCAAGGCAACGAUGCGUAGCCGACCUGAGAGGGUGAUCGGCCACACUGGAACUGAGACGCGGUCCAGACUCCUACGGGAGGCAGCAGUAGGGAAUCUUCCGCAAUGGGCGAAAGCUUGACGGAGCAACGCCGCGUGAGUGAUGAAGGUCUUCGGAUCGUAAAACUCUGUUAUUAGGGAAGAACAAAUGUGUAAGUAACUAUGCACGUCUUGACGGUACCUAAUCAGAAAGCCACGGCUAACUACGUG